Maniola jurtina (meadow brown) is the source of this 151-nucleotide long non-coding RNA. RefSeq lists it as uncharacterized. The transcript has 3 exons. The record is from RefSeq and is a predicted model, not a curated record. NCBI's taxonomy places the organism in Eukaryota, Metazoa, Arthropoda, Insecta, Lepidoptera, Nymphalidae.
CACAGUUAGUAACGAUAUAAUAUUUGAAGAAUAUCACAAUUGAGUUAGAUUUAAUGUUAUUAUUAUUCGAUUAUACAUUCUCGUUGAAGAUUAUUUAUUAAUAGACAAAAUAUGUUGAAUUUUAUUUUACUUAUAUUAUUUAGGUAUUUUA